Apteryx haastii (Great spotted kiwi) is the source of this 1179-nucleotide long non-coding RNA. The record is from Ensembl. NCBI's taxonomy places the organism in Eukaryota, Metazoa, Chordata, Aves, Apterygiformes, Apterygidae.
UGGUCUUCGUGCCUGCUGGCAGAACCAUGCAGCCGCCUCCGCCCCCAGCGCUGCCCCCGGCCGAGCCGUGCCCCGCGGGGUUGGGGCUUUAACGGAGCCCGUCCCGGAGCCGGUCGCGGGGCAGCACGGGGGCCGGGAGCGGCCGCGGCCCCCCCUCGCCCCCUCUCGCAGCGUGUCGUUAUUCGGCCGCGGCCACCGCCUUCCCGCCCCGCCGGGGCAGCCGCCCCUCCCCCGCCCGCCGCGAGCAGCCCCGGCCGAGCCGCGCGGCCGGUGCGCGGCCCCCGAGAGCUUUUUUUUCCUCUUUCGCCCCGCGCUCCCCUGUGCUGCGUAUGCAAAUGUAGCCCAGCACCAGGAAGUAGGCUGAAAAGCGCCGGGGCGGUCGCCCGAGCCAGUGCGAAGUUCCUCCGCGGGCUGCACCGGCCGCGGGGCAGCAGCGGGCGGCCGGCGCUUCCCGCCGCGCACGGAGGAGCCGCGGCGCGGUGCUUGCCCCCCUCCGCGGGCAAAGCCCCUCGCCGGUGCUGCCGCGCAGCCCGCCCUCCCGGCGGUAACCGUGGAGUUUACUCGCCGCUGCCCAACCUUCGCACCCGGCAAAGUAAGUGCCUUCGCGCUCGGCGGCGGGGCGGGCUGCCGGGGCUCUGGCGGCUCGCCCGGCCGGGUGGGUUAGCGGCGCGGCGCGGCGCGGCGCGGCGAGCGAAGGGGGCGCCUCCUGCCCGCCCCCUCCCCCCGCGGGCGGUUGGCGGCGGGGCGCAGCCGUUGCGGCCGCGACCGUUGGCCCGCGGCGCCCCCUCCGCGCCGCCGCCCCCUCGCGGAGGGGCCGGAGGCAGAGCCCGAGCGCGGCUGGGCGGAGGAGGGCGACGGGCUGGCCGCGGAGGGGGGCGGCGAGGGCGAGGUCUUCUGCCGCCGCCGGCUGAUGGGCGAGGGGCAGGUCGGGCCGCGAAGCCCCGCCGGGUCUCCGGGUGGGUCGCGAUGGGGCAGCGCGAGGCGCGGCCGUGUCGGCGCCGGGAGCGGUUGUGCCGGCCGGGUCGGCGCGGCGGUGCCCGGCCAGGCCGUGGCCGCGCUCCCGGACACGCCGGCUACAAGAGGCGAGAGUUACUUUUGGGGGUGGUCGCCCUCCCCGCAGCCUCGGGGAGGAGGUGUCGCUGCCCACGACCUCCCCGGUGGGAGCAGGUGGGGUUUUAA